GAGUUUGAUCGUGGCUAGGACGAACGCUGGCGGCGUGCUUAACACAUGCAAGUCGAACGGUAAGGCUCCAGCUUGCUGGGGUACACGAGUGGCGAACGGGUGAGUAACACGUGGGUGACCUGCCCUGCACUUCGGGAUAAGCCUGGGAAACUGGGUCUAAUACCGGAUAGGACCGCACCGUGAGGGUGUGGUGGAAAGUUUUUUCGGUGUGGGAUGGGCCCGCGGCCUAUCAGCUUGUUGGUGGGGUAAUGGCCUACCAAGGCGGCGACGGGUAGCCGGCCUGAGAGGGUGGACGGCCACAUUGGGACUGAGACACGGCCCAGACUCCUACGGGAGGCAGCAGUGGGGAAUAUUGCACAAUGGGCGGAAGCCUGAUGCAGCGACGCCGCGUGGGGGAUGACGGCCUUCGGUU
Molecule: ribosomal RNA, 412 nt
Filed under: uncultured microorganism
Description: bacterial SSU rRNA
Rfam family: Bacterial small subunit ribosomal RNA
Source: RNAcentral